AGAGCCAUACCACAUUGAAAACACCGGUUCUCGUCCGAUCACCGAAGUUAAGCAAUGUCGGGACCGGUCAGUUUUUGGGAGGGUGACCACCUGGGAACACCGGGUGCUGUAGGGU
This 115-nucleotide ribosomal RNA is filed under the name Cordylochernes scorpioides. The record is from RNAcentral. Lineage: Eukaryota; Metazoa; Arthropoda; Arachnida; Pseudoscorpiones; Chernetidae.